ACGGGUGAGUAAUGCAUCGGGAUCUACCUCAACGUGGGGGAUAACGUAGGGAAACUUACGCUAAUACCGCAUACGUCCUACGGGAGAAAGCAGGGGACCUUCGGGCCUUGCGCGGUGAGACGAACCGAUGUUCGAUUAGCUAGUUGGUAGGGUAAUGGCCUACCAAGGCGACGAUCGAUAGCUGGUCUGAGAGGAUGAUCAGCCACACUGGAACUGAGACACGGUCCAGACUCCUACGGGAGGCAGCAGUGGGGAAUAUUGGACAAUGGGCGCAAGCCUGAUCCAGCAAUGCCGCGUGUGUGAAGAAGGCCUUCGGGUUGUAAAGCACUUUUAUCAGGAACGAAAUACCACGGGUUAAUACCCUAUGGGGCUGACGGUACCUGAGGAAUAAGCACCGGCUAACUUCGUGCCAGCAGCCGCGGUAAUACGAAGGGUGCAAGCGUUAAUCGGAAUUACUGGGCGUAAAGGGUGCGUAGGCGGUUCGUUAAGUCUGUCGUGAAAUCCCCGGGCUCAACCUGGGAAUGGCGAUGGAUACUGGCGAGCUAGAGUGUGUCAGAGGAUGGUGGAAUUCCCGGUGUA
Molecule: ribosomal RNA, 579 nt
Filed under: Lysobacteraceae bacterium StRD607
Lineage: Bacteria; Pseudomonadati; Pseudomonadota; Gammaproteobacteria; Lysobacterales; Lysobacteraceae
Description: bacterial SSU rRNA
Rfam family: Bacterial small subunit ribosomal RNA
Source: RNAcentral